GACGAACGCUGGCGGCGUGCUUAACACAUGCAAGUCGAACGGAAAGGCCCUGCUUUUGUGCGGUUCUCGAUUGGCGAACGGGUGAGUAACACGUGAGUAACCUGCCCUUGACUUUGGGAUAACUUCAGGAAACUGGGGCUAAUAUCGGAUAGGAGCUCCUGCUGCGUGGUGGGCGUUGGAAAGUUUCGGCUGUUGGGGAUGGACUCGCGGCUUAUCAGCUUGUUGGUGGGGUAGUGGCUUACCAAGGCUUUGACGGGUAGCCGGCAUGAGAGGGUGGACGGGGUCAAUACGACUACGAGAGGGAGCAGACUCCAACGGGAGGCAACGGUCGGAAGCAUUGCACAGUGAGAGGGAGCCUGAGACAGAGGCGUCGCGUGCGGGAUGACGGCCUUCUGGGUGUAAACAGCCUUCGCCUGUGACGAAGCGUGAGUGACGGUACCGAAUAAAGAAGCACCGGCUAACUACGUG
This 468-nucleotide ribosomal RNA is filed under the name uncultured bacterium. RNAcentral's name for it is "partial 16S ribosomal RNA". It matches the Rfam family "Bacterial small subunit ribosomal RNA", at positions 28 to 507 of the family's 1533-position model. The record is from RNAcentral.